RNAcentral lists this ribosomal RNA (786 nucleotides) under Poculum pseudosydowianum. RNAcentral's name for it is "SSU rRNA". It matches the Rfam family "Bacterial small subunit ribosomal RNA", at positions 312 to 1148 of the family's 1533-position model. Lineage: Eukaryota; Fungi; Ascomycota; Leotiomycetes; Helotiales; Rutstroemiaceae. The record is from RNAcentral.
UUUUAACAGAGCUAACUGUAUCGGGGGUUAGGCGCAAGCUCCCCCUUUUUAUAACCUAGUGACUUAGCCAGCCGUCUGCUAUGCUAGGUAUUAAAUUAUUUUUUCCACUUGGAAAACUGAAGUAUAGGAUUGAUUUUGUCGAAUAAAGUUCUAGAUAAAAUAAUGAUUAUGACUAUUUUUUAUCUAUAUGUCUUGACCAAAUUACGUGCCAGCAGUCGCGGUAAUACGUAGAAGACUAGUGUUAUUCAUCUUUAGUAGGUUUAAAGGGUACCUAGACGGCAAUAGUUAGUCUAAAAUAAGAUACGAUUUUGCUAGAGUUAUAUAUGAGGAGGUGAGUAUUCUUGGAGGAGAGUUGAAAUUCUGUGAUACCUUGAGGACUGGUAAAGGCGAAGGCAACCUCUUAUCUAAUAACUGACGUUGAGGGACGAAGGCUCGGGGCGCGAAUAGGAUUAGAUACCCUAGUAGUCCAAGCAGAGAAUGAUGAAUGCCAUAGACUAGAUAUUUUUUUAGUGUAUAAAUGAAAGUGUAAGCAUUCCACCUCAAGAGUAAUGUGGCAACGCAGGAACUGAAACCAUUAGACCGUUUCUGAAACCAGUAGUGAAGUAUGUUAUUUAAUUCGUAGUUACGCGAAAAACCUUACCACAAUUUGUAUAGCGUCCCUAAAGGAUGUUACAAGCGUUGCACGGUUGUCUUCAGUUAAUGUCGUGAGAUAUUGGUUCAUUCCAUUAAAUUAACGGAAACCCUUGCUUUAUUUGCAAUUUAUAAAUAAAGUAGUUCACUAGUAUA